Molecule: long non-coding RNA, 1474 nt
Filed under: Numida meleagris (helmeted guineafowl)
Lineage: Eukaryota; Metazoa; Chordata; Aves; Galliformes; Numididae
Description: lncRNA (ENSNMEG00000013037.1)
Source: RNAcentral
AUGAAGAGAUCUUGCCAAGUUAUGGAAAAAGAAAAAUGGAAAUGUAAUGAUGAAGUACAAGGAAACAGUUUGGCUGUGAUGCAGCGUGAGGAUGCUCCACCUUGCUUGGAAAAUAAAGCGCUUCAGUCCCGCAAAGUUUCUUCAAAGAAACCCCCAGCCUGGAACUGGUGCGGCUCUGCAGAGGGAAACGCCGCACUGUACUUCAAAGCGGAGAAAAUCUGCAGCUGCCGGGAGCCCGCCUGCCCCAGGAGGUGUCACUGUUGGGACUGGCAGGGUGAGCUCCGGAGCUGCUGUUUGUUUUCCAAAGCCUACAUUGACCGUGAGGUAGGAAUUGACCUGUGCUACACCUCCCCUCCCCACCCCAGCCAGCCUGGGGAAAGGGGAUCGCAGGUAAAACGAGCUGGUGGCUUCUGUGUAGGUAUGGGCAUAUACAGAAGCGAGAUAAGAUACUCGGCAUUCUGUUUUUUAUUUUAAGAAAUACUAGUUAAGCCAGGCUGGUUACAGUAGUAGUUUUCCUUGUUCUCAAAGUGCUGGUAAAUCACACCAAAUCAGAGAGAAUAUGUCAGGAUAUAACUUCUGUUUUUUUUCCUUUUAAUACUCUUUGAGGUGAAGAACAAGUGAAUUCGUGAUGUGAUAUUUGCUGAGUAAAUGUUUUUUCUAAGUAAUACUCUCUCUUUAAAUUUACUAAAUCAUAUGCUUUCAGAAAAAAAGUACAUACUUCUGGAUCACCCAAGGAUUGAAAGUUUUCUAACCAUAAUGCAAAUAAUCUGCAAUGCAGACUUUAUAGAUAUAUAUAUAUACACAUGCAUACUAACUUCAAGGUUAGGAAUUAUGAUGAUGACUAUUUCAUGGCAAAAAAUAUGUAUAUUUUUAACGUUAAAUUUAGUUUUUGGAGUAGUCUACUACAGCCUGAGGUAAGUUGCUUCCAUGGUUAAUUAUAUUCAUCAUCGAUGUUUUGCAUUUUAUUUCUAGUAUCAGUGUCAUUUUUCAGCCUUCAGCUUGGGGAUUUAUUUCGCCAGACCUCCCAUUUUGCCCAUUUUCUUUGCGUUUGUGUGCUAAGAAGUUUCAUGUCUCCACAACAGUAAGGGAAGAUCUACCAAGUUGCAUCUUUUGCCUAGCACUUAUUUCUUAUUCUCAUGGUUUGUGGUUGAUAUCUGGACAUACGCAUUCUAGGAUUUUUUUUUUCAAGUCAAUUUAGUUUUAAAUAGCUUCAAACUCUCUUCAUAUUUUUGUGUGAAGGACAAAGCAGAAACUCUUCCAGACGAACUGCUGAUGUUUGCACAGAGCACACUGACCAUUGCUUAAGCUAUGAAAUUUUACUUCCAAGAACACAGAGGGGGGAUUUUCAAGUUCUUUGUCUUUGUUUUGUCACUGUGGAAAGCCCAGAGAAGCAGGGUUCCUCUAUCAUUCAGUAACUUCCGUUUCUUGUGCUCUUGAUGUAAUUUCUCUGAGCUUUGAUGUAUGUUUUACUCUA